GUGCGUAUGGGCAUGUCGGAUCCCUGCUCGGGCAGCGACGGCAUUCGUUCGUGCCUCUUCAUUUUUCGGUUCAAGUGUGCUGCUCACCUUGAUCGAAGUCGGUUUCCUGUGUUGCAUACCAGUUGUGGAGGUAAUUGACCGGUUAAAUGUAUUUUCGUCCCGCGUCCGCCUUUCCAAGGUUGGUGCGUGGGGUGGACAAAGAAGAUCCGUCGUGUUCCACGCCCCAGACAUCAGUGUGUGCUUGGGUUGUUGGUGCACGGCGGCAUGCUCGUGCUUUUGGAUGCGGAAAAUUGAGCGGGUACGAGGCAUUUGUCCUCUUAUAUACCCCGAAGAAAUGCGUUUCACGCUCUCAGCGAAGACGG
Molecule: unclassified non-coding RNA, 362 nt
Filed under: Erythranthe primuloides
Lineage: Eukaryota; Viridiplantae; Streptophyta; Magnoliopsida; Lamiales; Phrymaceae
Description: partial external transcribed spacer
Source: RNAcentral